AGGAAAAAUGUAAGUAUAAAAUCACAGCAAAGCGUUCAUACUGCAUGAACGAAUAAACAAUAAGAAUCAAUCUGAAAAAAAACGUACCCUUUACUAUAAAUAUAAAUUUUAAUCAUGAAUUUCAAUCCAAUGGCAUUAUUUUAAAGAAAUAAAAUCGUCUGAUUCGGUAAAAAAGAACCAAAUAAUGACUCUGUCUAUUUAAAAUUAUGGUCUAUCUAAACAACCAUGUGGAUUUGGUGUCCUAACUAUCAGUAACAAUUAACUGUAUUAAGAACAAUAUUUUGGAAUCUGCCUAGCUUGUCUCACAUCUUUUAAGCCAUUAUAUGUUUUGGGCAAAAUCUGAGCAAAGAAGUACGCAAUAAAACGCCAGAGCCAAAAUGGAAAAUUAGCAUAUGAUAGGUUUGAAUCUGGGAGAAAUCGAAAAUUCCGUGUUUUAAUUGGUUUAAAACCAGGGCCAAUAAAGAAUCACUGAAUUAAGUUGUAUUCAGCACGCUAAGGUGAUUUUAUAUUAUUUUCCCUAUUCCUCUUGGUCCGAUGACCCAGGCAAUUUCCAAAAUGAUUGCAGUAUAUGUUUUCUGUUUACAUAUCAGUUGGACCAAGAAUACUCAACAUUAUAAGCACCAAUCGAAGGCAACUGACAAUUACAUGUAACGUAGCCGGUUUCCCGCAUCCAAAUGUCACGUGGGAACAGGACGGGAACCACUUAAAUAGCACUUUCGACUCUUUGUACGUUAUGAUGGGAGAAAGAGUUGUUGUUUACAAUCAGAACUACUCUGAUACAUAUAGGUGCAUCGCAAUGAACGAACAUUCGCCAUACAAUGCAACAGAUGAUAUACAUAUAAAAGAUGGCCAUUUCACUUCUACGACUGCAGGUGGAAAAGUCAAAAAAAUAUUCGAGUUGUUAGCCAGCAUAAUCAUAACUUAUUGUGCAAUGUUGGAGGUGCAAUAACUUAAAUUUAUUACGAAAAUAUUUUGCCACUUUGUGUCGAUCACCCUUCUACUAGUUAUGCUAUCGCAACCUGUAUUAUAUUAAAACUAAAUAGAAUUGCGACAACGGCCCCUUCCGAGAAGAUACCGAAAGGCUUCUGGGUCUCGGAGUCUCCCAAUUUGACCGUGUGAAGGA
Mya arenaria is the source of this 1123-nucleotide long non-coding RNA. RefSeq lists it as uncharacterized. The record is from RefSeq and is a predicted model, not a curated record. NCBI's taxonomy places the organism in Eukaryota, Metazoa, Mollusca, Bivalvia, Myida, Myidae. The transcript has 3 exons.